GUGGGGAAUAUUGGACAAUGGGCGAAAGCCUGAUCCAGCCAUGCCGCGUGUGUGAAGAAGGUCUUCGGAUUGUAAAGCACUUUAAGUUGGAAGGAAGGGCAGUAAGUUAAUACCUUGCUGUUUUGACGUUACCGACAGAAUAAGCACCGGCUAACUUCGUGCCAGCAGCCGCGGUAAUACGAAGGGUGCAAGCGUUAAUCGGAAUUACUGGGCGUAAAGCGCGCGUAGGUGGUUUUGUAAGUUGGAGGUGAAAUCCCCGGGCUCAACCUGGGAACUGCCUCCAAAACUGCAUGACUAGAGUACGGUAGAGGGUAGUGGAAUUUCCUGUGUAGCGGUGAAAUGCGUAGAUAUAGGAAGGAACACCAGUGGCGAAGGCGACUACCUGGACUGAUACUGACACUGAGGUGCGAAAGCGUGGGGAGCAAACAGGAUUAGAAACCCCUGUAGUCC
This 450-nucleotide ribosomal RNA is filed under the name uncultured bacterium. RNAcentral describes it as "partial 16S ribosomal RNA". It matches the Rfam family "Bacterial small subunit ribosomal RNA", at positions 354 to 796 of the family's 1533-position model. The record is from RNAcentral.